UUCUUAUCCAGAGAGGUUGAGGGAAUGGCCCGAAGACACCUCAGCAACCAGCAACGCCCGAUCAAAAGGACGUUGAAAAGGUGCUAAUUCCAGCAAGCUAUUGAUGCUUGCAGAGAUGAGAA
RNAcentral lists this non-coding RNA (122 nucleotides) under Bacillus sp. (in: firmicutes). Its description in RNAcentral is "Bacillus sp. SAM-I sequence". It matches the Rfam family "SAM riboswitch aptamer (S box leader)". Rfam says of the family: The SAM riboswitch is found upstream of a number of genes which code for proteins involved in methionine or cysteine biosynthesis in Gram-positive bacteria. The SAM riboswitch acts at the level of transcription termination control. The record is from RNAcentral. Lineage: Bacteria; Bacillati; Bacillota; Bacilli; Caryophanales; Bacillaceae.